AGGUGGUGGAGACCCAGGAAAGGACUGGAAGUAGCCCACAGGCAAACUGGAAUUAUAAGAAGAAAUGGAAAACACAAACCAGGACCUGGGGUUACGUUUCUCAAUGUCAUGAGGCUGAGGGCCGAGCUGUUGCUGUGAGAAAGGGAGAGAGAAACAGAGUGUGAGCCUGGGAGGGGCAGAGAGAGAGAGAGAAACACAGAAUCAGAAGAAGACUCCAGGCUCUGAGCUGUCAGCAUGGGGCCCGACACGGGGCUUGAACCCAUGAACUGCGAGAUCAUGACCUGAGCAAAGUUGGAUGCUUCACCGACUGAGCCACUCAGGUGCCCCCACCACAGUAAAAAUUUAAAAGGUGAAAAUCUACAUGAUAUUUAAGGAUGGGAUUCUAAUGGUCUAGAGCAUGCACUGGUGGCUUUCCUAAUAAAUUAUUACCGUAAGAGUGCCUUGAAAAAAACCAAAGAAUGCCUGAAAUUACAAUCGUCUCCUUCUUGGCAUUUCCUGCCGGCAGGAAAGAAUCUGAUGAUAAAAAGUCAGGGGAAAAGCAGGCAGCAAAAGAAUGGGAGGUGGGGAAUAAGGAGGCUUGUGUCCGUACACUAAGGCUUCAUCCUUCGGUUACUGAUUGACAGCUAAGUACCUGCACGGAUGAGCUCCUGGCCCCUCCUCCCUCCAGGCCUUCCACUGGCCACUUUGCCUUUGCCAACUGUGCCCUCAGGAUAACAGUGGCCCCCAUCUCCCUAGUUCAGCCUUUUUUGUUUUUCUUCUUCCAGACCUCAGCAGAAAAUCUCUUCUCUCUUGCCAUUUUCUCUUUUUCUGACACAUUUACUGUUAAACACUGGCUAUCGUGUGGGGUUCUCAUGAAAAACAAGCCAGGAAGGGCUAGGCCAUUUCCACUGCCUUUUUCUCCCAUCUGUCCUCAAACCUAAUCGAGUGGCAUGGAUAUACACUGCUAUUGCUUAUAGACAUACCCUUUUUUCCCUUUUUUCAGACACACUCUUAAGUGAGGUAAACCCUGGAGGAAAGAAAAGGAUUUUUACUUAUCAAUCACUUAGCAAUGAAGUGUUCCCUCUACACGUCAGAUUAGAUUGAUCCAGAAGCAGUGUGAACUUGAACUAGAGUCAGUGUGCCUUCUCUGCUGAUUUCAUUCCUGUAACUUCAGUUUUUUCCUGUCAUUUUCUUCUGCAUUUGACCUUUCACUUCUCCUCUGUCACCUCCAUGUCAGGAGGUAUAUGCCAAGGUCAGCAGACACGAAUACCAGAGCAAUGCGGAGGUGCAAGGGGAUGCGGUAGGAAAAUUGUGCUUGGAGUCACAAGACCUGAGCUCUGGUCCCGGCUCUUCC
Molecule: long non-coding RNA, 1333 nt
Organism: Acinonyx jubatus (cheetah)
Lineage: Eukaryota; Metazoa; Chordata; Mammalia; Carnivora; Felidae
Exons: 3
Source: RefSeq, a predicted model, not a curated record